GGGUGGAUUAGUGGCGAACGGGUGAGUAACACGUGAGCAACCUGCCCCUGACUCUGGGAUAAGCGCUGGAAACGGCGUCUAAUACUGGAUAUGUCCCGUCACCGCAUGGUGUGCGGGUGGAAAGAUUUUUCGGUUGGGGAUGGGCUCGCGGCCUAUCAGCUUGUUGGUGAGGUAAUGGCUCACCAAGGCGUCGACGGGUAGCCGGCCUGAGAGGGUGACCGGCCACACUGGGACUGAGACACGGCCCAGACUCCUACGGGAGGCAGCAGUGGGGAAUAUUGCACAAUGGGCGGAAGCCUGAUGCAGCAACGCCGCGUGAGGGAUGACGGCCUUCGGGUUGUAAACCUCUUUUAGCAGGGAAGAAGCGAGAGUGACGGUACCUGCAGAAAAAGCACCGGCUAACUACGUGCCAGCAGCCGCGGUAAUACGUAGGGUGCAAGCGUUAUCCGGAAUUAUUGGGCGUAAAGAGCUCGUAGGCGGUCUGUCGCGUCUGCUGUGAAAUCCCGAGGCUCAACCUCGGGCUUGCAGUGGGUACGGGCAGACUAGAGUGCGGUAGGGGAGAUUGGAAUUCCUGGUGUAGCGGUGGAAUGCGCAGAUAUCAGGAGGAAC
RNAcentral lists this ribosomal RNA (609 nucleotides) under Microbacterium esteraromaticum. RNAcentral's name for it is "bacterial SSU rRNA". It matches the Rfam family "Bacterial small subunit ribosomal RNA", at positions 85 to 707 of the family's 1533-position model. Lineage: Bacteria; Bacillati; Actinomycetota; Actinomycetes; Micrococcales; Microbacteriaceae. The record is from RNAcentral.